AAACACACCUUCCACUCUGACUAUCCAUUUUCCAGAUAAUUCAAUAUUAGCUACAGAGAGGUGGCGAUGCAUAUAUUACUCAGACGUCUACGUUAUGGGGGUAGUGGUCAAAACGGUGACUUGUUAAUGUCUCAUUAUGAAUUUGAAAGUAUGAGGAAAACGCCCGAGAGCGUAUUUAAGAGGCGUCAACAUCAGUGAGGACAAACUGUUCCUCUGCAAACACAGACGUCUGCAACAACAGAUACUGGCUGGCAGGUGGUGGUGACAGUUGCUCUGUGGGCAAGAAGCUGCAUCUUUCUGCGACAAUGGGGGAGAGAGAGACUUGCUUAUUUUCACCUGUUGCUCCUGCUGAGACCUGGAUUAAACACUGCCUGUCCACUCACUACAGGCCUAAACACUCACUGGAGGAAGGUUCCCAAAGUGACCACUGGGCAUCUCACCCAUUUUGCACCAGAAAAAGACUUGUGGUGGCCCUUCUGGUCAUGUUGGCCUUGGCUGUCAUGAUGCUGAUACUACUGCUGAAUUAUUAUUGUAUUAUGGUCUGGCACCUGUGUGAACAUGAAGAGUCUUUUCCCCCAAUAUUUCAAAACUCUACGCCAGAGAUGGACUGGCAGGACUGAGACAUGUUUGAUUGCUCUUGUUUUAAUAUUUGGUGCAUCCAUCUAGGAUGCAUUUAUGUGUUAUACUGCUGUGUUUUUUGUUUGAUGAACUGAAAUAACACUGAACAUUUCCCGUGUGAGAUUGUUUUCAUGUGUGAUUUUAGAAGGAAACUAUUCACACUGUCAGGUUACUCAGUUCCUAGUUUUGUAUUUAUUUAAAUGAUUUCCUAGGUUUGCCAUUACUUUUUAAAUUAUGCCUAUUUUAAUUUGCAGAGUCACUGUAUUUGUCCAUGUAUUUACAUCUGUUAAACUUUAUCUUAUGAAGUUUGAAAUGUAGUUAAAUACUGUUUAUAUAAAUGGUUUUUGUUUGGUGGA
This is a long non-coding RNA of Labeo rohita (rohu), 974 nucleotides long. RefSeq lists it as uncharacterized. The transcript has 2 exons. The record is from RefSeq and is a predicted model, not a curated record. NCBI's taxonomy places the organism in Eukaryota, Metazoa, Chordata, Actinopteri, Cypriniformes, Cyprinidae.